GGUUGUAUAGUAUAGUGGUUAGUACGGCUCGUUGUGGCCGAGCAGACGCAGGUUCGAUUCCUGCUACAGCCA
Molecule: non-coding RNA, 72 nt
Organism: Xylariaceae sp. AK1471
Lineage: Eukaryota; Fungi; Ascomycota; Sordariomycetes; Xylariales; Xylariaceae
Source: the annotation of a GenBank genome assembly